AAUGAACGUUGGCAGCGUGGAUUAGGCAUGCAAGUCGAGCGACAAGUCUUCCUUCGGGGAGAUGGAGGAGCGGCUAACGGGGUAGUAAUGCAUCGGAACGUACCCUUCAGUCGGGAAUAGCCACGGGAAACUGUGAGUAAUGCCCGAUGAUUCCUACGGGACAAAGGUCCGCCGCUGAGGGAGCGGCCGAUGUGAGACUAGGUAGUUGGUGGGGUAAUGGCCUACCAAGCCGAAGAUCUCUAGGGGGUGUGAGAGCAUGGCCCCCACCACUGGGACUGAGACACUGCCCAGACAUCUACGGAUGGCUGCAGUCGAGAAUCUUUGGCAAUGGGCGAAAGCCUGACCAAGCGACGCUGCGUGCGGGAUGAAGGCCCUUGGGUUGUAAACCGCUGUCAGAGGGGAUCAAAGGAAACUUGAGAGAGCCUCAGAGGAAGCGCGGGCUAAGUUCG
Molecule: ribosomal RNA, 449 nt
Filed under: uncultured Planctomyces sp.
Lineage: Bacteria; Pseudomonadati; Planctomycetota; Planctomycetia; Planctomycetales; Planctomycetaceae
Description: bacterial SSU rRNA
Rfam family: Bacterial small subunit ribosomal RNA
Source: RNAcentral